This 714-nucleotide long non-coding RNA is filed under the name Equus asinus (donkey). Its description in RNAcentral is "lncRNA (ENSEASG00005025274.1)". The record is from RNAcentral. Lineage: Eukaryota; Metazoa; Chordata; Mammalia; Perissodactyla; Equidae.
CUGGCAUGUGCCAGAGGACUUUUAUGGGCAAGCAGAGGGGGCUUCAACCACAAGUCCUACAUGGGAGAACUCUGAGAGCAGAGAAACCUGUGGGAGUCAGGAUUCAGGCAGCUUUGGGCCAGAAGAUUUUGGCUUUAUUCAACAGGAAACAGAGUCUUGGAAGACUUUAAAGAGAUGUGGUCUGCUUCCCAUAAUGAUUCGUCUGGUGCCAUGUGGAGUUUGCUGAUGCCAGGCCAAAAGAGGGAAACUUGAGACGGUCCAGAGGGAUGCGGGACUGAAUAAAGGCAGAGGAAGUGGGGAUGAAGAAGGAAAGAGUAGACUGGAUGGAACAUGGUGGCCAAUUUGACGUGGGAAGUGGACAGAAGGAGGAAUCAUGGAUGAUGACCAGGUUUCUGGCUUGGGCAACUGGCUGGAUGGGAGUGAUAUUAACAGAGGAAUGUGCAGGAGGGAUGAAGAUUUCUGGGGGGAAGACAAUGAGUUGAAUUUCAGACAUGAUGAAUCUGAGGUGCCAGGGAACUUACAAAUAUCCAACAGGCAACUGGGUACAGGGACCUGGAGUUCUGUUGGCAUCAUCUUAAAAAUGUAUCCCGACUCAACCAUCUCUGACCACCUCUACUAUUACCACCCUAGUCCAAGCCACCACACUGUCUUACCUGGAUUAUUGCCAUAGCCUCCUAGCUAGUCUCCUGGCUGAUGCAUUUGACUUGGUUUUUC